Molecule: unclassified non-coding RNA, 21 nt
Filed under: Mus musculus (house mouse)
Lineage: Eukaryota; Metazoa; Chordata; Mammalia; Rodentia; Muridae
Description: oocyte_clustered_small_RNA13934
Source: RNAcentral
AGUUGUGGUCCUCGGCCCCGA